RNAcentral lists this ribosomal RNA (493 nucleotides) under uncultured bacterium. RNAcentral describes it as "partial 16S ribosomal RNA". It matches the Rfam family "Bacterial small subunit ribosomal RNA", at positions 28 to 523 of the family's 1533-position model. The record is from RNAcentral.
GAUGAACGCUGGCGGCGUGCCUAACACAUGCAAGUCGAACGAAGCACCUUACCUGAUUCUCCGGAUGAAAGUCUGGUGACUGAGUGGCGGACGGGUGAGUAACGCGUGGGUAACCUGCCCUGCACAGGGGGAUAAUAGCUGGAAACGGCUGCUAAUACCGUAUAAGUGCACGAGGAGACAUCUUCUUGUGUGAAAAACUCCGGUGGUACAGGAUGGGUGCGCAUCGGAUUAGCUGGUUGGCAGGGUAACGGCCUACCAAGGCAACGAUCAGUAGCCGGUCUGAGAGAAUGAACGGGCACAUUUGAACGGAAACACAGUCCGAACUCCUACGGAAGGCAGCAGUGGGAAAUAUUGCACAAUGGUGGAAACCCAGAUGCAGCAACACAGCGUGAGUGGAGAAGUAUUUCGGUAUGUAAAGCUCUAUCAGCAAGGAAGAUAAUGACGGUAACUGACUAAGAAGCGCCGGCUAAAUACGUGCCAGCCGCCGCCGUAA